Molecule: long non-coding RNA, 1272 nt
Filed under: Hordeum vulgare
Lineage: Eukaryota; Viridiplantae; Streptophyta; Magnoliopsida; Poales; Poaceae
Description: long non-coding RNA (HVUL_LNC011708)
Source: RNAcentral
AAGGUUCUCUUCCUUUCUGUCUUCAAAGUGGGUCAUGAUGGGGAUUUCUCCCGUAACCGCCACCGCUGGCCUGACCAUUGGCCACGCAGGAGGAGGAUACCUCGACGGGGCCGGAGCCACACGUCGCGUUGGGCCGGUGCUCCACGACGUCACUGCCGACCGCUGCUGGGUCGCGUGCGGACGAACAAUCAGCCGCCUCUACCGUCGGCAUCAGUGCCGUCGGAGGCAGCGCUGGAAGACGUCGAUCCGCCAAGCGCCGGGAGGAUUCACCACACAGUGGCAGUGCGCUGCCGUCGCGCUUGGAAUGGACGAGCCGCUGGGGCCACGACGGAGGUUAUGGCCGCGCUGGCGUUGCCUGGCAGAGAGCCGGCCUUAGGCCGUUGCCGCCACAGGAGGGGGCGUGGUCGCAGACGCUGUCGUGACACGUGAGCCUUGCUGUCAUACGCGCUCGCAUGAAGGGCUUCAUGGCGCAUCGGCCGUUGGCCGAGGGCCCUGCCGCGCCUUAGUUCCGAUGGGACCGCGUCCUCGGACGUCGCCGGGACGCCAUGAGCUGGGCAAGCCAGCCUUCGUUACGUUAGGUUGCCGCCCUGAUUGAGUAAGGCAAGUCUGUAGUGCUCAUUUCAAGCAAUCGAUGCAUAUACAAACCGAAUGAUGAUUGAUGCAUGUUGAUCGAUUCUCCUGUAUAGGAGCAUGCAUCUUAUGCCAGCGCCUGACGUGGUCACUGCAUUCAGCGCUGAUGAUGGCCGGGAGCAGUUUCCGUGUUCUUGCCGGUGAGAAGGACGAGGCAUCCACCACAGGAGAGAGCGUCACAGCCGUCGCCCUGCAUGGCAUGGCUCCGAUGCAGACUUUAUCUUUCUCUCACUUCUUGUCCAACGAACCAUCGGCGGUGUUGUGUGUCCAUGGCCCUUUCGCUCUUGUUUAGAGACUAGCGUGGCUGAUAACGUAUUGGAGUAAAACGAGAUUGAAUGAAUGUAAUGAACGAUCAGUCAUGAUUUCUGUUGAUUUUCAAGUAUAUAUACAUCUGGAAGAGGUGCGAAGAAGAGGUGUCUGUUCGGAAACAUUCCUCCAGAACAGAUGUUUGUUGGCAAUAGAGAGAGAAGACACGACUGUUCAGGGUUGGACACAUCCCUUGACUAAUUAAUCUACUAAUUAAUUUCUAACAGGUUGAACCAACACCUUCACGAGACCAUCACCAGCAUGCACCGACUCGUAUCAUCCAUCAUGAUCGCAUCUUCAAAUAGCCAUUCCUUCUCGAAGUUCAAGAAUGAUUUC